AAUAAGGUGCCUGAUUAAAGGGUUAUCUUGAUAGGAUAAAUUAUGUAAUUAUUUACCCUUAUUA
This 64-nucleotide transfer RNA is filed under the name Corythucha marmorata. Its description in RNAcentral is "tRNA-Ile". Lineage: Eukaryota; Metazoa; Arthropoda; Insecta; Hemiptera; Tingidae. The record is from RNAcentral.